This 253-nucleotide ribosomal RNA is filed under the name uncultured bacterium. Its description in RNAcentral is "partial 16S ribosomal RNA". It matches the Rfam family "Bacterial small subunit ribosomal RNA", at positions 524 to 776 of the family's 1533-position model. The record is from RNAcentral.
UACGAAGGGGGCUAGCGUUGCUCGGAAUUACUGGGCGUAAAGCGCACGUAGGCGGCUCUUUAAGUCGGGGGUGAAAUCCUGGAGCUCAACUCCAGAACUGCCUUCGAUACUGAAGAGCUUGAGUCCGGGAGAGGUGAGUGGAACUGCGAGUGUAGAGGUGAAAUUCGUAGAUAUUCGCAAGAACACCAGUGGCGAAGGCGGCUCACUGGCCCGAUACUGACGCUGAGGUGCGAAAGCGUGGGGAGCAAACAGG